RNA transcript from Aethalodelphis obliquidens (Pacific white-sided dolphin), 2297 nucleotides. It is a transcript of the gene named dolichyldiphosphatase 1, with no coding region annotated. Lineage: Eukaryota; Metazoa; Chordata; Mammalia; Artiodactyla; Delphinidae. The transcript has 9 exons. The record is from RefSeq and is a predicted model, not a curated record.
CUCCCUAUUGGCUGCUCGGCGAAGCCCGGUCUCCGGGUAAGAUGGCAGCGGACGGACAGUGCUCGCUCCCCGCUUCAUGGCGGCCGGUGACCCUCACCCACGUCGAAUAUCCUGCAGGUGAUCUCUCUGGCCAUCUCCUUGCCUACCUGAGCCUCAGCCCCGUAUUUGUCAUCGUUGGUUUUGUGACCCUCAUCAUAUUCAAGCGGGAGCUGCACACGAUCUCGUUCCUUGGGGGCUUGGCACUGAACGAGGGGGUCAACUGGCUGAUCAAACACGUCAUUCAGGAGCCACGGCCCUGUGGAGGUCCCCACACGGCAGUGGGCACCAAGUACGGGAUGCCCUCCAGCCAUUCCCAGUUUAUGUGGUUCUUCUCCGUCUAUUCCUUCCUUUUUCUGUAUUUAAGAAUGCACCAAACGAACAACGCCAGGUUCCUGGACUUGCUGUGGAGGCAUGUACUCUCCCUGGGUCUCCUCACCGUGGCGUUUCUAGUCUCCUAUAGCAGGGUCUACCUGCUGUACCACACCUGGAGCCAGGUGCUCUAUGGGGGCAUCGCUGGAGGCCUCAUGGCCAUCGCCUGGUUCGUCUUCACGCAGGAGGUCCUCACUCCCCUGUUCCCUAGGAUAGCAGCCUGGCCUAUCUCUGAGUUCUUCCUAAUCCGAGACACGAGCCUCAUUCCCAACGUACUCUGGUUUGAGUACACGGUAACCCGGGCAGAAGCCAGGAACAGACAGCGCAAGCUGGGGACGAAACUGCAGUGACGGGUGAGUGUGGCUGUCUCCAGCCUCCAGAUGUGGCCUGCACGAUGCCUUGCAGGGUGGAUGGAAUGACAGACAGAGGGACGAAGCAGAGACCUCUACAGACCCAAGUCACCGAGUGGAGCCUUUUUUUUUCUUAUUUUAAUUUUAACGAACAAGGUGGACCAAAGGGCUGAGCCAGCCCCUCAGCCAGGACCCUGGAGGGCCUGUUGCCGGGGGGCCUCACAGCCAGAGACCCUCACAGUGCUGCUGCCAGCCCCCAGUUGGGCGGAAAGUGCCCCUGACGUGGGCACUGGGGCAUGGGGUAGAGAAGGAGGGCUUGAAUCUCUGGCCGCAGGGCCAGGAAAUGUAGGUGGCGUGAAAAAUGCACACUAUUUAUUUUUUGGUUUUGUCAAAGGCAGAUGGGAUUUUGGAGAGGGACUGGAAGACCCAGCUCUGCGGGGGCUGCCCUGCGUACCGAGGAGCCCAGGUCAGCUUCCUAGGCCCUUUGCCCUGGGCCCGAGAGAUGGCCUGGGGGCCCAGGAGGAGGGAGCACCCCCAUGCCCCCCCUGCCACCAACGCCAUUCCAGAACCUCGGUCAGUGUUUCCCGUGUGGGAGCCAGGCCCAGAGAGAGCAAGCGUCUGCGCUGCCAUCGCUGUGUCCUACCCGCAUCGACCCUGCGCUGCAAGGGCUUUCUCUGGUUCCCUGUCCCCAAGACAGCGGUCCCUUUCUGAUGAAAGAGCCUGCGCCUGUGGGUGAGCAAACCCAAGCUGUUUACAGCUCUUUCCUGUCCUGCGUCCGCUAGUGGGUCGUCUUCAUCUCCACCCGAACAAAAUGCAGAGGAAGCAGGAGCUGGUGAGAGGAGUGGGGUAGCGGUGCCUACUGUCCCCACCCUUCCCUCCCCUCUGUGUGCUCUGAGCAUUCCUUGUCCUUCCCGACCCCCCUCCGAGAGGCUGGGAACCUGCUUGGGUCACCCCAAACCUGUGUCCGGGGUGUGGCUCACAGAUCCCCACUGCCCAGCUCGGAGGACGACUCCUCCCAAUCUUGAAGCCGCCUUGAAAUGGAGCUGUGGAGAGGAGAUGCGUCCAGACUUGGAAGCUUCUAGAACUGAACCAGGCUGCUCGGGACCUGUGUUCAGGGCCCGACCCCCCUCCCUCCCCCGGCCGCCUUUUCUUUGUGGAGGUUCCUAAUCUGCUGCUGAAGCACAAUAUUUUGGUGCUUUCUUUUCUCAUUUGUUAAAGACAGUGUCCAAAGCCAUUCCAGAUGCCAGGACCAGGGGCCUGUUUCUGGGGAAGCUUGAACAUGUUGACUGAGCUGAUGGGAGGAGCCGGGGACGUGGCUGUGCGGACACACAACCCGAGGGGCAAGGGCGUGGUUAAGACCAGAAGAUCGUGCGCGUCUCCAAGACACCUAGUCCCCUCCAGCCCCCAAAGCCAGGGUUGGAAUGGCCUCUGUGACAUACCCCACUGGGGUCUGAGGACAGCUCCCUUCCAUUGAGUUUUUUUAGUCCCAGUCUACCUCCCCCUGUGGCGCUGGCUGGCUCUGCUCUCAGUAAGCCUAGC